GAAUAUUUACUCUGUGCGGAGUCAUUAUCGCGUUCUUUGAUUGCUCGCAAAGCGUACGCGCGAGAGCCACUUUGUCGAAGUACCUACCUCGUUAUAAUGCGACCAUAAUCGGGCGAAAUCAAGUUGUUAGCUUGCAAUUGAGUUUUGUGCAGUCGAGCCUCUCGACGGUGAACUUCAUUUUCAACAUACACCGACGAUUCCAGCUGUUCCGUGCGUGGAAGUACUCGGUAGGAUAGUCGCUACGUUUGUACACGAGCCGAGCAACGACGAAGGGACGAAGAGGGAAAAAAUUAUGUUGGAAACAGUUAAGAGCCGUCAAGUUAUUCAGCAACGUUGUGAGGGGCUGGGAAAAAGAGUUGCGAGAAAGAUCAAACCAUGACGGGGAACGGGGAACAAAAGCACGAGGGAAGGCAAUAUUCAUGGCAUGGUACUCCAUCGAACACUGCAAUCGAGAGAAACACGUCUACAAUUGCCAUUUCAUACGAAAAUUCCGCCACAGAGGCUCAGAUUUUUCACCGAAAAAAUACAAGCUGAUUCUAAUGUGAAAUAUGACCGAAGACAACACCGGCGAUUGAGCGGGUAUCUCAUGACAUCGUCGAACUACUGGGGGAUCACUGCUGCGAUAGUGGCGUGCCAGGGUACAUCCAAUUUGAGG
Athalia rosae (coleseed sawfly) is the source of this 655-nucleotide long non-coding RNA. RefSeq lists it as uncharacterized. NCBI's taxonomy places the organism in Eukaryota, Metazoa, Arthropoda, Insecta, Hymenoptera, Athaliidae. The record is from RefSeq and is a predicted model, not a curated record. The transcript is spliced from 4 exons.